UGGAGGUCGGGAGUUCAGUUCGGAGUGACAGACAAGCAAACCAAGUGCGAGAAGGAGAGCGGGUCAGGGGAGGGAAAGAGGGAAUGGGCUCGCCCCAGGUUCGGCUGCCGGAGCAGGGCUGAAGCGAAGCUGAAGCGUCUUGUCUCCUGGAGAAAGCCGCAGCUCCUCUUGCAGCCAAAAAGUAAAUACAUUAGGAAAGAACCACGUAAUAGGCCUAAUAUUUAUUUAGUUAUGAAAUGAAUGCUGAAUAAGAUGCCUGUGUUAUAAAGUGCCAGUGCAGCUUUUCUUCAGUUCAGAUUCUGUAUCAAAAGGGAGAGACAGAAACGGAAGUUACACUGAGAAGUUGUUUACAGUUUUAACCGGUACUGUAUUUACUGUAGAAAUAUUGCAUGAAUCACUAGUAUAGGGAAUUGGGGGACAUGCUGUAGGAGAGUUAUAUCUGAGGUGUGUUAUAAUCGAGAGCCUUAUAGCGAGGGAUCACUGUAUAUAUGUAUGAAACCUUGCAUCAGACAUUUUAUUUGUAUUUUCUUUUUGUAUUUAUUUAGUUCUCACCCAAACACCUGGAAGAAAUGUCAGAACUCUGAGAAUUCAGAUACAGUGGAUCUUAUGAACUGGAUUAGCACAAAAACCUCCAAGAAAGCAGUUUUUGCAGGAAGCAUGCAGCUUUUAGCAGGAGUCAAACUGUGUACUGGAAGAGUCUUAACAAAUCACCCCCUCUUGAGGACAAGAGUUUGAGAGAGUGCACCAGACAGGUCUACCAUGUCUAUGCUCACUAGUCCCCUGAAGAUGUCCACAAGAUCCUGCGGUCCUUUGGCACAGACUAUGUAAUCCUUGAGGACAGUGUCUGCUAUGAGAGGAGACACAACCGAGGGUGUCGCUUGCAGGAUCUGCUUGAUGUAGCAAACAGCCAUGUAUGUGCUAUGUGACAGUUUACCUCUGAAUGCUUUGGAAUAUGCUGUGCUUGCAGUAUAUCCUGUAAAUUAUAUGAGACUGCCUGUCAACAACUUUCACUCUCAAAACACUUCAGAGAGAUGAGGCAUUUAAACAACCAUGUGACGAAGCUAAAUUAAAGCUGCAGUGUCCCACAAUCGUGUUCAGUAUUGCACUGAAACAUAAUUCAUUGGUUUACUACAUUCUUUGCUUUUUUUGUGCACUACUUUAUCAAAAAGCAGGUUUUGUUGGAAGUGCAGUUUGUUUGUAUCCCUAAAGAUGGUUGAAGCUGUAGGGACACAAGCAUCCUCCUCCCUUAAGACCUCCUAGCCACUGCAUCUCUCUGUGGGGUCCUGGUUGUACUUGCACCAGUUGGAGACCUUUAAAAAGGGGCUCUUCGGAUCCACGAGCCGAGCUGAGGCUUGAAUACAUGUAUGUGUCCUCUUUCUAAUAUUGAGCCUUUAUUACUUAUUUUUUAGAUUAUUAGUGGCCCAGGAGAGAAUGAGCUAGAUUUGAGUCCAUCCCCACACCCCCGGUUCUGUGAUGAAAUCAGAACAGAUCAGCCUCCGGUACACCACAUACUAAACCUGUGUAUUCACAUAUAAAACAUUCCACAAGCUGAAGAAAGGAAAGAAAAUCAAACUAAACAGUUGGUUAAAGGAUUGUAGUCUUAGGUCCAGAUAGCCAUCAUAACAGCGAUCAAUAUAUCUAAUGGCUUUCUAUUCAUGCAGUGCUGAGAUAGGGCUUUCGUGACAGGUGCCCUGUGUAUUGGAUUCCAAGAGUUCAAUUUACAUAAAAAUAUUUUAUGCGCAAACUGUUAUAAUAUCUGACUGACUUACAGAUAUUUUACAAACGGGGUGUCAGAAGGAAGCACAUAAAAAGCAUAAACUCAGGAUCAACGCCACCAGCAUUCUUGUCACGAGUAGAAUAAUGAAUGUUGAAGAAGUGCAUUCGUUUUUGGAUUGCAUGCAUUUUUUUUCAAUCUUGAGACUGCUGUAAUUGUAAUCAUGUUAUCCUGUAUGCACAAAAAAACCCUGUCCAUCCACUUUUAAAGUCUUGUUAGUACAUUUUAUUUUAUUUUUUCUUUAACAUACUGACUGUUUCUAAAAAAAUGCACUGUAUCCUUUCAUUGUGGGAUGAGUUAUUCUGUAAUAGAAUUGUAGAGCUUAAAAAGUAAAACAGCAUUAAGGUGAAACAUGCAUGCUUUCUUAUAAUGCUAUUCAUGUUGGCCCAGAAAUUGACAUUUCUACACGUUUUAUUUUUUAUUUGAGUUACUGUGGAUGUUUAGCUGCUUGUUUUUUUGGAUUGUCAAGCACAUCUGCAGUACUGAAUCCUUUCAAAAAGGAUGUCCUUGCAAGGGUAAAUGCUAGUUGCCGGUCUCCUAGCAGCUGCAAGAUUAUAAAGCAAUACAAAUCUAAUUGUGAGAUUGACAGGAAGUGAAUUUUACAUUCCUCAGUGCUUUUAUUUUGCGUUUCUUUUGCUUUCUUGUCAGUGACUUUCAGUGUUCUCCCCAUGAGAAAUCGGAGUUACAUAUUUCAUGUCAUUUAUCCUAAUUACUGCUGGUCUUGCAUGAGUAUUGGGAAGAAUUAUUCUUUCUAUAAAAAUGCUGAAAAAAGCAACCAAACUUAUGGAACAUAUGGUUUCAGGCUGAAACAAGCCUGAAAUGUAUGCUUUUGAUGUAAAGCUCUCUUUACAAAUCAUUACUGUUACUAAUUUUAGACAUCAAGGUUCUUCCACUAUGACUGUUUUUUGCCUCUUAAAACUGUAAGACAUUCCUUGGUGUGUGUGGAGCUAGUGCCAUAAAAGAGGCUUGUUUGCGUUUUACAAAUAACUGUAACAUUGACAUCAUUUCUUAAUUAGUUGAUGAUAUGCAGCAUACCGCUUUUGAACCAAUCUUUUACAUUAUUCUCUGAAAAAUUAUUUUUCAGAGCACACACUUUUUGACCUUCCCUGUAGAUGCAAAGCCAGUUGCUACCUUAGAAAUGUACAUUUUGAUUUGGCUGCUCUCUAAGUAGGUGUUUAUUGCACCCUGUGGCUGGUUCAGCUUCAAGCAGCUUUGGAGUCAAGACACAACGCCCAGAAGUGUGUUAUUUAGGUUAGCAUCACAUUGAUUUUGUUAUUUGAAUGACAUUUGUAGCACUAUUAGACAAUAAAUAACCUAUUCCAUUGAGCCUUUAUGUACUGAAAUGUCACAAAAGUGUUCACAUAAAAAGGUAGAAACACCAUUAAAUUUUAAACUAUAUUAACUAGUGUUAUUCUCUAGCAUUGAGUCAAAACCAUCCAUAUGUAUUAUCUCAGAGUUAUUACCUGCAUGUGCUGCAUACAUUAUACGCCAUGAUUUGCACUAGCACUACUAAAGUAUUUUAAUUAUAAAAGUGUUACUUUUUUGUAAUCUGAAUUGUUUCAUGUAGGCACAUCCCUACAUGCAUCAUUGUGCUCACUCAAAAAGUGCAAUAUAUGUCUGUG
This is a long non-coding RNA of Acipenser ruthenus (sterlet), 3396 nucleotides long. RefSeq lists it as uncharacterized. The record is from RefSeq and is a predicted model, not a curated record. The transcript has 3 exons. Lineage: Eukaryota; Metazoa; Chordata; Actinopteri; Acipenseriformes; Acipenseridae.